CUGUCUGUGGGAAUCGAUACAAAAAGUUGUGUUGGUUCUCUUUCAUUUUUUCACAUCCACUGUGAAUCUGCAAAAAAUUCCACAAACCUCACCGGAUUUUUCCAAAAAAAAAAAAAAAACAUUCGCUAAGCUCCAAAACUCAUCCCUCAAACACCAUCACUCCCCUCUCUCUCUCUCUCUACCUCUGAACUCACGCCUUUCCCCACAACCCACACAUUUUCCACUUUUCAAAAAAACUGCUCCGAUUGACGAGGGUUUGACUGUGGCGGUUGACGAAAAGGAAAGCCAGAAGCUGAUCAAGCAGGUUGAAGAAGAAGAGA
This 320-nucleotide long non-coding RNA is filed under the name Malus domestica (apple). RNAcentral's name for it is "long non-coding RNA (MDOM_LNC000302)". Lineage: Eukaryota; Viridiplantae; Streptophyta; Magnoliopsida; Rosales; Rosaceae. The record is from RNAcentral.